This 411-nucleotide long non-coding RNA is filed under the name Solanum tuberosum (potato). RNAcentral describes it as "long non-coding RNA (STUB_LNC008695)". The record is from RNAcentral. Lineage: Eukaryota; Viridiplantae; Streptophyta; Magnoliopsida; Solanales; Solanaceae.
UUGGAACUAACAGACGACCUGCGUCCUUUUUGGAAGGUGGUUCAGUGGAAAUUCCUGAGUUCCUCAGGAAAAAAGGGCGAUCGCGCUAUCCAAGAGCUUAAGUUAGUCAUGUAUAGUACUCUUCCCUUUUUCUUCUUGUUCUCCACAGAGUCCCAUCUCUAUCUUUCAAAGUGAUACAUAUGCGUUAUACGUACAGGAUCUUGGUUAUGCAUCGAGUAUCAAGUUUAUCUCAUGGAAAAACCAUUGUCCAUCUCGUUUUUCUUAAUAAUAAUGUAUCGUGCCUAUACAUGUUAGUUUGCUAGUGAGUGUAAUAAGCUGGAGAUACUAUCAAAGGUAGACAAUUAGGAGCACAAUCAGUCUGGUUUCACCUUGUGAUCUGUAAAAUGUUGCUGUAAAGUUGAUAUCUGGAGA